ACAAACAAAAUAACUAUCCAGCACAAACCAAAACAUGGUUACACAAGUUUAUCACAUCUAUUUUCACCUAUAGAGAUAAAUUUCCAUCCGAUUCUCCUUCCAUUCUCUCUCUGUUCCCAUCCCCACCUCUCUCUCUCUUUCUCAUUCCUCUUCUCCUUCAAAUGUAAAUAUCUCUCAACCCACCUUGAUCAACCUCAUUUUCUUUCACGAGUUUUGUUUUUCAUAAUUCUUUUGAAUUAAAUAAUUAAUUUGAUUGUAGUUUGGUUUAUACAAAGAUCAUGAGUAAGUGUUUGAGUAGCCAAUUAUCCAAAAGGGUCGAUGGAGAACCUGAUUGUGGAUUAAAAUUAUGUUGCAUUGGGGUCGACCGUAGCUGGUCUGGAAAUCUUACACCGCCACCAUAUGAACAAAUUGGGAAUGGGUCGUCUGUGCCUACAAGUAAAGGCCGACGAGGUCAUCGUCGAAGAAUUCAUAGUACAGGUAUUCUUGCAUUUGAAGGAAGAAAUGGAGAAUCAGGAGAACCUAGGUUGAUGAGGAGCUGUGGUAUGAGAAGGGAUUGGAGCUUUGAGAAUUUAAGACAGAUUAUGGAGGAAGCAUAACCAAAAUUUGGAGAAAGGGAGAGAGAUUGACGAUUGUUUGUGUGAGAGGCAAAAGGGUACAUUAUGAUGAUUCUUAUGCGUAUGUAUGGAUUUUUCUUAGGUUUUCAAAUACUGGAAUGAUGGAAAUAUUCUUAGGUAAUAAGGAUUAUGAGGCUUACAUCAACAUUCCAGGAUUUAUAUAUACUAGAAAUAACCCAUGCCAUAACGGCACGGCAUGAGGUUAACAGAAAGUUCUAAUAAAUAUCUAGAGAUAGCUCGUGCCGUAACGACACUGCUUUAAUAUGAUAUAUGUCUGGUGUAAUUUUUUUUUUCGGGCUUUAAAUCGUGCUCCUUUGCAAGAUAGUUUUUUAUUUUGUUUUAAGCGAAAAUAAUGUUUAUAAGUACAUUGUAAAGUUAUUCAUAUACAUUAUCCAAAAACGAACACAAAAUCAUCUAACUAA
Papaver somniferum (opium poppy) is the source of this 1036-nucleotide long non-coding RNA. RefSeq lists it as uncharacterized. Lineage: Eukaryota; Viridiplantae; Streptophyta; Magnoliopsida; Ranunculales; Papaveraceae. The record is from RefSeq and is a predicted model, not a curated record. The transcript has 3 exons.